Molecule: ribosomal RNA, 261 nt
Filed under: uncultured bacterium
Lineage: Bacteria
Description: partial 16S ribosomal RNA
Rfam family: Bacterial small subunit ribosomal RNA
Source: RNAcentral
GACGAACGCUGGCGGCGCGCCUAACACAUGCAAGUCGAACGGAGUUAAGAGGAGCUUGCUUUUCUUGACUUAGUGGCGAACGGGUGAGUAACGCGUGAGUAACCUGCCUCAGAGUGGGGGACAACAGUUGGAAACGACUGCUAAUACCGCAUAAGACCACGGUCUCGCAUGGGGAUUGUGGUAAAAGGAUUUAUUCGCUUUGAGAUGGACUCGCGUCCAAUUAGCUAGUUGGUGAGGUAACGGCCCACCAAGGCGACGAUU